Molecule: non-coding RNA, 306 nt
Organism: Peromyscus maniculatus bairdii (prairie deer mouse)
Lineage: Eukaryota; Metazoa; Chordata; Mammalia; Rodentia; Cricetidae
Source: RefSeq, a predicted model, not a curated record
GAAGACAAGAAUCACAACUCGAAAAGAACUGGUUUGUCAGUUGCAAGAAGGCUUAGAGAGAUCCAACGGACAGAGCGCUAAUUCAGCAGCCUGGCGUGGGACAUUUAUCAAGUUGAUCCUUAGAUUUCAAUCAAGGCUGGAUAUUGUGAACCUUUGAGAAAUACUAAAACGUUCCUCAAAGCAGUCCAAUGCACAGUAACAGACUGGGAGGCUGGCUGCAUCCACAAAGAGGUUAAAACAGAUGUGCCAAGAGGAUAAGGAUAAUUGUUUUGGUCACUGAACUAUUCCAAGCCACUACUAGGUGUC